RNAcentral lists this ribosomal RNA (253 nucleotides) under uncultured bacterium. RNAcentral describes it as "partial 16S ribosomal RNA". It matches the Rfam family "Bacterial small subunit ribosomal RNA", at positions 524 to 776 of the family's 1533-position model. The record is from RNAcentral.
UACGUAGGGUGCAAGCGUUGUCCGGAAUUAUUGGGCGUAAAGAGCUCGUAGGCGGCUUGUCGCGUCGGCUGUGAAAACCUGGGGCUCAACGUCCGGCCUGCAGCCGAUACGGGCAAGCUGGAGUUCGGUAGGGGAGACUGGAAUUCCUGGUGUAGCGGUGAAAUGCGCAGAUAUCAGGAGGAACACCGGUGGCGAAGGCGGCAUACUGGACGUUUUCUGACGCUGAGGCGCGAAAGCCAGGGGAGCAAACGGG